This 1383-nucleotide ribosomal RNA is filed under the name uncultured bacterium. RNAcentral describes it as "bacterial SSU rRNA". It matches the Rfam family "Bacterial small subunit ribosomal RNA", at positions 18 to 1395 of the family's 1533-position model. The record is from RNAcentral.
CCUGGCUCACGUUGAACGCUAGCUACAGGCUUAACACAUGCAAGUCGAGGCGUAUCAGGAAGAAAGCUUGCUUUCUUUGCUGGCGACCGGCGCACGGGUGAGUAACACGUAUCCAACCUGCCCUUUACUCGGGGAUAGCCUUUCGAAAGAAAGAUUAAUACCCGAUAGUAUAAUGAUUCCGCAUGGUUUCAUUAUUAAAGGAUUCCGGUAAAGGAUGGGGAUGCGUUCCAUUAGGUUGUUGGUGAGGUAACGGCUCACCAAGCCUUCGAUGGAUAGGGGUUCUGAGAGGAAGGUCCCCCACAUUGGAACUGAGACACGGUCCAAACUCCUACGGGAGGCAGCAGUGAGGAAUAUUGGUCAAUGGGCGCGAGCCUGAACCAGCCAAGUAGCGUGAAGGAUGACUGCCCUAUGGGUUGUAAACUUCUUUUAUAUUAGAAUAAAGUGCAGUAUGUAUACUGUUUUGUAUGUAUAAUAUGAAUAAGGAUCGGCUAACUCCGUGCCAGCAGCCGCGGUAAUACGGAGGAUCCGAGCGUUAUCCGGAUUUAUUGGGUUUAAAGGGAGCGUAGGUGGACUGGUAAGUCAGUUGUGAAAGUUUGCGGCUCAACCGUAAAAUUGCAGUUGAUACUGUCAGUCUUGAGUACAGUAGAGGUGGGCGGAAUUCGUGGUGUAGCGGUGAAAUGCUUAGAUAUCACGAAGAACUCCGAUUGCGAAGGCAGCUCACUGGACUGCAACUGACACUGAUGCUCGAAAGUGUGGGUAUCAAACAGGAUUAGAUACCCUGGUAGUCCACACAGUAAACGAUGAAUACUCGCUGUUUGCGAUAUACAGUAAGCGGCCAAGCGAAAGCAUUAAGUAUUCCACCUGGGGAGUACGCCGGCAACGGUGAAACUCAAAGGAAUUGACGGGGGCCCGCACAAGCGGAGGAACAUGUGGUUUAAUUCGAUGAUACGCGAGGAACCUUACCCGGGCUUAAAUUGCAGUGGAAUGAUGUGGAAACAUGUCAGUGAGCAAUCACCGCUGUGAAGGUGCUGCAUGGUUGUCGUCAGCUCGUGCCGUGAGGUGUCGGCUUAAGUGCCAUAACGAGCGCAACCCUUAUCUUUAGUUACUAACAGGUCAUGCUGAGGACUCUAGAGAGACUGCCGUCGUAAGAUGUGAGGAAGGUGGGGAUGACGUCAAAUCAGCACGGCCCUUACGUCCGGGGCUACACACGUGUUACAAUGGGGGGUACAGAAGGCAGCUACCUGGUGACAGGAUGCUAAUCCCAAAAGCCUCUCUCAGUUCGGAUCGAAGUCUGCAACCCGACUUCGUGAAGCUGGAUUCGCUAGUAAUCGCGCAUCAGCCACGGCGCGGUGAAUACGUUCCCGGGCCUUGUACACACCGCCC